CCUACGGGUGGCAGCAGUGAGGAAUAUUGGUCAAUGGCCGCAAGGCUGAACCAGCCAAGUCGCGUGAGGGAUGACGGUCCUAUGGAUUGUAAACCUCUUUUGUCAGGGAGCAAAAGGCGCCACGUGUGGCGCUUUGCGAGUACCUGAAGAAAAAGCAUCGGCUAACUCCGUGCCAGCAGCCGCGGUAAUACGGAGGAUGCGAGCGUUAUCCGGAUUUAUUGGGUUUAAAGGGUGCGCAGGCGGAAUGUCAAGUCAGCGGUAAAAUUUCGGGGCUAAACCCCGUCGUGCCGUUGAAACUGGGGUUCUUGAGUGAGCGAGAAGUAUGCGGAAUGCGUGGUGUAGCGGUGAAAUGCAUAGAUAUCACGCAGAACUCCGAUUGCGAAGGCAGCAUACCGGCGCUCAACUGACGCUCAUGCACGAAAGCGUGGGUAUCGAACAGGAUUAGAUACCCGAGUAGUC
This 459-nucleotide ribosomal RNA is filed under the name uncultured bacterium. RNAcentral's name for it is "partial 16S ribosomal RNA". It matches the Rfam family "Bacterial small subunit ribosomal RNA", at positions 338 to 795 of the family's 1533-position model. The record is from RNAcentral.